Molecule: ribosomal RNA, 406 nt
Filed under: uncultured bacterium
Lineage: Bacteria
Description: partial 16S ribosomal RNA
Rfam family: Bacterial small subunit ribosomal RNA
Source: RNAcentral
AUUGAACGCUGGCGGCAGGCUUAACACAUGCAGGUCGAACGAGUGGCGGACGGGUGAGUAAUGCUUGGGAAUCUAGCUUAUGGAGGGGGAUAACUCCGGGAAACUGUAGCUAAUAACGCGUACCAUAGGCUGAGCCCAAGUGGGAUUAGGUAGUUGGUGGGGUAAAGGAUUACCUAGGCGACGAUCUCUAGCUGGUCUGAGAGGAUGUUCAUCCACACUGGGACUGAGACAAGGCCCAGACUCCGACGGGAGGCAGAAGUGGGGAAUAUUGCACAAUGGGCGCAAGCCUGAUGCAGCCAUGCCGCGUGUAUGAAGAAGGCCUUAGGGUUGUAAAGUACUUUCAGUCGGGAGGCGUUACCGACAGAAGAAGUACCGGCUAACUCCGUGCCAGCAGCCGCGGUAAUUC